Amphimedon queenslandica is the source of this 670-nucleotide long non-coding RNA. RefSeq lists it as uncharacterized. The record is from RefSeq and is a predicted model, not a curated record. The transcript has 4 exons. Lineage: Eukaryota; Metazoa; Porifera; Demospongiae; Haplosclerida; Niphatidae.
AUCUUAAAUGAGGAUAUCAUUAGUAAGCAAUAUUAUGUCUAAAAUACAUGCCAUGUAUGAUCCAAUCAGAAACAUUGUAGAUGCUACCAUUAUCAUUAUUAGUUAGUAUGUCACAUACAUACUUUUUAUAGGUACUUAUGUACUUGGCACAAGGACUACAAUGUGGUGUUAAAGAGUGAGGUUUGAUGUGAUUGGUAAUUACAGCUGGAAAUGAUUUGCUGAUUCAGCAAUACUUUUGCUUGAAAUUGGAAUGUGAAAUAUAAUUAGAGGCAAUUCUGGAUUUAGAUUGUUGAAACUAAAUUAAUUUCUUUCUUAAUGUUUUGUUGCAGCUCCUGGAUUAGUAGUUGUAUCAUGCAGUAGUAGGUGCCAGUUUACAUCUGCAUAGGUUUCAUAUUAUUGUAGUCUUAGCAAUGGAAUAUGUAGUUAUGAUUCUAGGUUACAUACUGUAGAUUAGCUUGAUGAUUAUAUCAUUAAUAAUGGCCACAGUCUUGUAAACUGUGGAAAAGUUUGAGAGCUGUGAGCGGGAAAGUGGCAACUGAAGCUGAAUGUAAACUUAAAUUGUUUCAGAACCGGACAUAGAUAUUAGUAAUGACAACUAAUGAUUAAUAAUUAUGAGUUAGGCUAUGAAUAUAAUUAAUGAUUCAAAAAUUCAAAAACUGUUUUUAUAAUG